AACGAACGCUGGCGGCAGGCCUAACACAUGCAAGUCGAGCGUCCCGCAAGGGGAGCGGCGGACGGGUGAGUAACGCGUGGGAACGUACCCUUUGCUACGGAAUAGCCUCGGGAAACUGGGAGUAAUACCGUAUGUGCUCUUCGGAGGAAAGAUUUAUCGGCAAAGGAUCGGCCCGCGUUGGAUUAGGUAGUUGGUGGGGUAAUGGCCUACCAAGCCGACGAUCCAUAGCUGGUUUGAGAGGAUGAUCAGCCACACUGGGACUGAGACACGGCCCAGACUCCGACGGGAGGCAGCAGUGGGGAAUCUUAGACAAUGGGCGAAAGCCUGAUCUAGCCAUGCCGCGUGAGCGAUGAAGGCCUUAGGGUUGUAAAGCUCUUUCAGUGGGGAAGAUAAUGACUGUACCCACAGAAGAAGCCCCGGCUAACUCCGUGCCAGCAGCCGCGGUAA
RNAcentral lists this ribosomal RNA (447 nucleotides) under uncultured bacterium. Its description in RNAcentral is "partial 16S ribosomal RNA". It matches the Rfam family "Bacterial small subunit ribosomal RNA", at positions 29 to 523 of the family's 1533-position model. The record is from RNAcentral.